Hemiscyllium ocellatum (epaulette shark) is the source of this 580-nucleotide long non-coding RNA. RefSeq lists it as uncharacterized. Lineage: Eukaryota; Metazoa; Chordata; Chondrichthyes; Orectolobiformes; Hemiscylliidae. The record is from RefSeq and is a predicted model, not a curated record. The transcript is spliced from 3 exons.
CAGUUUAGAGACACCCCCUAGGGUUUUGCGACUCACCAUGCAGUUCGGAGACCCUCCCUCCAGUUCAGAGACCCUCCCUCCAGUUUAGAGACCCUCCCUCCAGUUUCUCUCGCUCUGGGAUCCCCUUCCCCCUUUCCUGAGGGCCUACUUGCCAUGGCUUCACCUGGCAAUGACUUGGGGAGGGGUGGGAUUGAGUAUCGCUUCGUUUCGUUUCUGCUUUUCGCCUGUUCCUCCAGAAUGUAAGACAAAAAUCAAGGGAGGGGAAAAUAAAAAUCUCCUGAUGCCUGCAGUUUCCCAGACCAGCGACGAUCACAAGACUGGCUUUGUGGUUUGGAGAGAGAGAGAGAGAGGAGGGGAGAGGGAUGGUGCAUGUGCAGUGCAGUACAAUCCUACAGCCUCACCUCGGUGCUCUGCGCCUCGGAACCCUUACCUGUCAGGGCGGCUAAUGAGGGCUCUCUCCCACUUCCCGCUCUGAAGGUGGUCUGUGGGAGACUGGGCGGAGGCCACAGGUGGGCCGUGUGACUCUCGGAAGACGGAUACCUUAGACGGAGGUUGGUGAUGAGGAGACGGCCAUGAGGGG